GUGCCUAAUACAUGCAAGUAGAACGCUGAAGACUUUAGCUUGCUAAAGUUGGAAGAGUUGCGAACGGGUGAGUAACGCGUAGGUAACCUGCCUACUAGCGGGGGAUAACUAUUGGAAACGAUAGCUAAUACCGCAUAACAGCAUUUAACACAUGUUAGAUGCUUGAAAGGAGCAAUUGCUUCACUAGUAGAUGGACCUGCGUUGUAUUAGCUAGUUGGUGAGGUAACGGCUCACCAAGGCGACGAUACAUAGCCGACCUGAGAGGGUGAUCGGCCACACUGGGACUGAGACACGGCCCAGACUCCUACGGGAGGCAGCAGUAGGGAAUCUUCGGCAAUGGGGGCAACCCUGACCGAGCAACGCCGCGUGAGUGAAGAAGGUUUUCGGAUCGUAAAGCUCUGUUGUAAGAGAAGAACGUGUGUGAGAGUGGAAAGUUCACACAGUGACGGUAACUUACCAGAAAGGGACGGCUAACUACGUGCCAGCAGCCGCGGUAAUACGUAGGUCCCGAGCGUUGUCCGGAUUUAUUGGGCGUAAAGCGAGCGCAGGCGGUUUAAUAAGUCUGAAGUUAAAGGCAGUGGCUUAACCAUUGUUCGCUUUGGAAACUGUUAGACUUGAGUGCAGAAGGGGAGAGUGGAAUUCCAUGUGUAGCGGUGAAAUGCGUAGAUAUAUGGAGGAACACCGG
Molecule: ribosomal RNA, 685 nt
Filed under: Streptococcus infantarius
Lineage: Bacteria; Bacillati; Bacillota; Bacilli; Lactobacillales; Streptococcaceae
Description: bacterial SSU rRNA
Rfam family: Bacterial small subunit ribosomal RNA
Source: RNAcentral